This 2270-nucleotide ribosomal RNA is filed under the name Triticum aestivum (bread wheat). RNAcentral describes it as "partial small subunit ribosomal RNA". Lineage: Eukaryota; Viridiplantae; Streptophyta; Magnoliopsida; Poales; Poaceae. The record is from RNAcentral.
GAAGUUCAGUGGAGACCCUAGCACAACGACGAGAAUUAGACGUUUAAUAGAAGGUAAACCAGUAACGAGGGUCCCUCCAGAGUAGAGUCGAGUCAAGUCGUACCUCCAAGACUAAAGUCGUCGACGCCCGCUAGAACAGUCGUCCAAGUAGAGAAAGGACCGAGUUUCAAUACCGUGGGUGUGUACGCUCCUCCUCCUAGCAUGUUCCGACCUUGCGUAGAACGACUCCUACGUGUCGCAACAACUUCUUCGUCUCCCCGCCGUGUAGUGUUUAGCUCCCUACGAGGCCGUCGACUUCCGCGAGUAGCUCCCAUACAUAGAACCCAUGAUGUACGACCUGUCCGAGUCCCAGGUCAGAGAACCUCUUCUCUCGUAGCUUCUACUGCUCCACUCAGUAGCCUCGGUUAGAAAACGGCAAAGAUGAAAAUUAUGGCGGUUCGCGGAAGCGAAACGACGAAGAUAUAGUUUCUUGUGUGGUCAUCGUAAACCCUGGCCCUCGUGUUGUUUCAACUUUUCACAACAACUUUCAAACCUCCGAGUAUGACGUCUAUACUCUCUCAAACACUACGAGGAACCGUCGACGGGAGCGGACAGAGCGGUCGGUAUACUAUGCAUAGAUGUGUACCUAUUCACGUACAAACCAGCGGUGUAGCUCUUUCUCGUUGAGGAGUUGAAGAAUGAUAGACCACAACUAUCAGUACUACCUUGUUUAAAGUCGUAGGAAGGCUAGUAGCCGGGCACGUCUCAGCCUUUCUUUUGAGACCACGUUGUACGAACGUCCCUACUCUCCCACGCCCCAGCAAAGAGGCUGUACAAAAAGAUAUUUCCGCUACUGGGCGUAUAGCCUCUUAAACGCCAGUUGACGUUCCGUCCGAGCCCCUUCAUGAAUAAACAACAACUAAAGUCAACCCUACACUUACGCCGUCGUACCCUUUUGAAGGCUAGUACAGACGUCUUCUACGGUCCACGACCCUCAUUUUAACAUCACUAUCCGUCUUGUCUAGUUCAACGACUUUACCCUUGACGGGUUGGGUAGUCCUACUUCUCAAACGGCGUUCUUCUUAUGACCAUGAAGAAGUUCCGUGAACGGAAACCUUCGUACCUAGGACUACUCAUGGGUUUUGACCGUAGAGACCCUUACGUCAACCGAUGAGUCGAUUUGCCUAGAAAAGAACCACGUUUAUAUUAACCACCCCAUAAUUCUCGAUUAGGACUAUGAUUUAAAACCACGUCGUACAAUGACUCCUAUUCUCUUGAUCAAGCGUUCGUACCGAGGAAGCCGUAUGUGGGACUCCUGGAAAAGCUCUCUUUAUAGGGAUAGUUGAAGUGGUUCAACAGGAUACACCCCCGAUUCCAAGUUCCUACAACCCGAAUGCUAAACUCCCUCUGACCGGGCCUCGUUUCACUCGACGGUUUUGACUGUACCGUUGUUGACGAUUGGCCACGACUUUAAGGACUACUACUUCUGUUCAAACUACACAACCGUACCUCUAGAGCCUAGGGUGGAAUGGCGCUGAUGUAUCAAUGAAAACUCUUUGUCUUUGGUGCAGCAUUUCAGUCGUCCUCCUUAGUAGAACGCGGUUCUUUUUGUACCCUUAUUUACGAUUAGACCGUUUGUGUUCACGUUCCUACAUAGGAAUAGGAUAUCCAGUUAUUUAUCCAGUAAUAAUAUGAGAACACAAAAUGAAUAUCGACAUACACGGGUACAAUGACACCUCUACUCUGUUCAGGUAUAAAAUGGGGAAGGAGUCGGAAAACGACCUCAAGUUUACGUCGAGAGUUGAGAUUAUGUUAGAACAUAACACACCGUCGGUACUUCAGCGUACUUCUGUUACGCUGAAGUAGCAGAAAAAGGAGGAAAUAGAAAUGAUUUGCUGGGUAACGCAGGAACCGGGUUUUUUUGUUUACAUGAGGAAGACAUUUGAUUAUAUUUUGCGAGAAUAUAAUCAAAUGUCUCCCUCAUCAGCUCUUUACUCCGAUAGAUGUACUUCAAACCAUGCUUGUGUAUUUAGGGUGAGCUGUUGCAGUUUAUGUAAGCUACUCUAGUACCGCCUGCAGUGAGGACUGUUCUCAGUUCAGAUCGGUAUGAGGACUAUUAUUAAACAACUCGAGCGGCCUCGACCUCCCCCUUCUCUUCCGACUCCAACGUAUACUCUGUCCUCCUUCGUUGUCGCGUUCCGCAGUCAAAGUCCGAGAACUACGCGAAGGACCCUGAGAUCCUAGUUGUCGAGGUCAGCAUAGAGGCAUCACCGGUAUUCAAAUGCCCGGGC